UGCAAGUCUAAGUCAGAAAUUAAUAAAGAAUUCUCUCAUUUUCUCUAAUUCUCUUAUGUGCUUUCUUUCUAUUCUUUCUUCCCAUUUCCUUCCAUUUCUUCCCUCCAUUUCCCAAAUUUCUAAGUUCUGGAUUCGAGACCAUGUUCCUAGGGUUUCAAAUUAACAAUUCCCAAACACAAUUACGAAACCAAUAUAUUCAGGUAGCCAACAUCUAUA
Molecule: unclassified non-coding RNA, 216 nt
Filed under: Hevea brasiliensis (rubber tree)
Lineage: Eukaryota; Viridiplantae; Streptophyta; Magnoliopsida; Malpighiales; Euphorbiaceae
Source: RNAcentral